AGGAGCUUGCUCCUCUGACGUUAGCGGCGGACGGGUGAGUAACACGUGGAUAACCUACCUAUAAGACUGGGAUAACUUCGGGAAACCGGAGCUAAUACCGGAUAACAUGUUGAACCGCAUGGUUCAACAGUGAAAGACGGUCUUGCUGUCWCUUAUAGAUGGAUCCGCGCCGCAUUAGCUAGUUGGUAAGGUAACGGCUUACCAAGGCAACRAUGCGUAGCCGACCUGAGAGGGUGAUCGGCCACACUGGAACUGAGACACGGUCCAGACUCCUACGGGAGGCAGCAGUAGGGAAUCUUCCGCAAUGGGCGAAAGCCUGACGGAGCAACGCCGCGUGAGUGAAGAAGGUCUUCGGAUCGUAAAACUCUGUUAUUAGGGAAGAACAAAUGUGUAAGUAACUAUGCACGUCUUGACGGUACCUAAUCAGAAAGCCACGGCUAACUACGUGCCAGCAGCCGCGGUAAUACGUAGGUGGCAAGCGUUAUCCGGAAUUAUUGGGCGUAAAGCGCGCGUAGGCGGUUUUUUAAGUCUGAUGUGAAAGCCCACGGCUCAACCGUGGAGGGUCAUUGGAAACUGGAAAACUUGAGUGCAGAAGAGGAAAGUGGAAUUCCAUGUGUAGCGGUGAAAUGCGCAGAGAUAUGGAGGAACACCAGUGGCGAAGGCGACUUUCUGGUCUGUAACUGACGCUGAUGUGCGAAAGCGUGGGGAUCAAACAGGAUUAGAUACCCUG
RNAcentral lists this ribosomal RNA (730 nucleotides) under Staphylococcus caprae. RNAcentral's name for it is "bacterial SSU rRNA". It matches the Rfam family "Bacterial small subunit ribosomal RNA", at positions 74 to 789 of the family's 1533-position model. The record is from RNAcentral. Lineage: Bacteria; Bacillati; Bacillota; Bacilli; Caryophanales; Staphylococcaceae.